UUGGUUAAGCUAAUAAGAGCGCAGGGUGGAUGCCUUGGCACUAAGAGCCGAUGAAAGACGUGAUAAGCUGCGAAAAGCUUCGGGGAGGAGCAAAUAUCCUUUGAUCCGGAGGUAUCUGAAUGGGGAAACCUACUUGAGCAACCCUCAAGUGUCGUAUGGUGAAUACAUAGCCAUACGUCGGGAACCCGGUGAACUGAAACAUCUAAGUAACCGGAGGAAGAGAAAGAAACAUCGAUUCCCAGAGUAGCGGCGAGCGAAAUGGGAAGAGCCCAAACCAGCGUGCGUGCAUGCUGGGGUUAUGGACCGCAUAAGUGAGCCGAUCUGUUAAUGGAACUGCCUGGGAAGGCAGGCCAUAGAGGGUGAGAGCCCCGUACAUGAAAACAGUAGGCAGCGGCGGUAUCCAGAGUACCACGAGACACGAGAAACCUUGUGGGAAGUCGGAGGGACCACCCUCCAAGGCUAAAUACUACUUAGUGACCGAUAGCGCAUAGUACUGUGAAGGAAAGGUGAAAAGGACCCCGGGAGGGGAGUGAAAGAGAACCUGAAACCCUGUGUUUACAAGCUGUGGGAGCACGUUAAGGUGCGACCGCGUACUUUUUGUAGAACGGUCCGGCGAGUUGCCGGUACUGGCAAGGUUAAGCACUUAAGGUGCGGAGCCGAAGGGAAACCAAGUCUUAAAUGGGCGUCAAGUCAGUACAGGCAGACCCGAAACCGGGUGACCUAUCCAUGUCCAGGUUGAAGCGGAAGUAAAAUUCCGUGGAGGACCGGAUCCACAUCCGUUGAAAAGGGUGGGAAUGAGGUGUGGAUAGGGGAGAAAUUCCAAUCGAACCCGGAGAUAGCUGGUUCUCCUCGAAAUAGCUUUAGGGCUAGCCUCGUAACAAGUUUAGCGGAGGUAGAGCACUGAAUUCCUAAGGGGGCGUCAAAGCUUACCAAGGGAUAUCAAACUCCGAAUGCCGCAUAAAUGAUGUACGGGAGUCAGACUGCACGAGAUAAGUUGGGUAGUCAAAAGGGAAAGAGCCCAGACCUACAGCUAAGGUCCCAAAGUGUGUGUUAAGUGGAAAAGGAUGUGGGAUUUCAAAGACAACUAGGAUGUUGGCUCAGAAGCAGCCACACAUUCAAAGAGUGCGUAAUAGCUCACUAGUCGAGAGGUCCUGCGCCGAAAAUGUCCGGGGCUGAAACACAACACCGAAGCUUAGGAACCACGUAAGUGGUUGGUAGAGGAGCAUUCUUAGGACGGCGAAGCGGUACCGAUGAGGAGCCGUGGAGUGCUAAGAAGAGAGAAUGCCGGAAUGAGUAGCGAGAUGGAGGUG
This 1310-nucleotide ribosomal RNA is filed under the name Clostridiales bacterium TF09-2AC. Its description in RNAcentral is "bacterial LSU rRNA". It matches the Rfam family "Bacterial large subunit ribosomal RNA", at positions 1 to 1323 of the family's 2925-position model. Lineage: Bacteria; Bacillati; Bacillota; Clostridia; Eubacteriales. The record is from RNAcentral.